CUACGACCAGAGCCUAUCAAUUUUUAACUCCUUACAACGAUACCAGAGCAAACUAGCUGCUAUUAUUAUUUAAUAGCGUGCUAUUAUUAAUUUUGUUCUUUGACUUGGAUCAGUAUUAAUUUCUCCAAGACCGUCAUAAGCGAAACCGAAAAUUUGAUUAUCGAAAUCUUCUGAUACAUUUCUAUAACAUUUACGAGCACCAUGUCCCCAUCCCCAAAUCUUGCUCUCGUACUGAAUUUUAUGCCCACACCGGUACUUUGCUCCGACGGAAUAUAUGACGAAUUCCUAGUGGAUGUAAUCAGCGACACAGGAAUUCUAGUCCGAGGAUAUGUCUUUGACAUGAAGGACGGGUAUUUGUUAGUGAAGACCAAUUUCUGGGAUAAACUUGGCAAAUGGAUCCCGUUCGACCAUCUAAUCGUGGGAAGGGAGGUUUUAACAUAAACCUCGCACGAAGCAUCGGUUGCUGGAUGCUCCGACGCCCGAGCGAGGCCCUGAUCAGUCUAGGCGCCGGUCGGCCAGCCGUCUGGCUGCCGGCACGCGAGCUGCAAACGCACUUUUAUAAACGCAGCUAUCCCUGGUCCUGGUGGCUGCGGCAUGUUCACGUCGACGUCGGCGGCGUGGGGAGCGCUGAAUAUCUCAUCGGGGAAGAUAUCCGGUCACGCGUGCAACUACGCUACCGCUACCGCAGAUUUGGGCACCCAACGGUGGGCAACGUGUCACAAGACACUUUCCGCAAAACUACUCUGCGGUUACCACUUCGGGUGGGCAUGAAACUGCAGAAAUGCCUAAACUGCCGCCGUUUUCACGAAUAUUGGCUGAAAUAUACCGGGACCCUUAUUACGGCUAUAGUCAGUGAUCGCAUGCAAGUGCUGAGCCGUGGUCCGCUGAAUCCGCGUUCACAGCGCCAGAUUGACGUAUUUAUUUGCGUCGAAGCCUUCGAGAGAGUUAACUGGGUUGCGCAGUUUCUCCCCGCGGCGCGUUCCACAUCACAAAUUGUGAUCCAAAACAACAUGAUGCGCUUCAGUGAGAACGAACCAGCAUGCACUCUGUGCGCACUUUGGCAAAGGGGCGAAUAAGCGGUAACUGCUGUGAGUCGACCAUCGAAUCCAUCACCUUACCGAUACAGGUUGCUAUCCUUUCGUACCUCGACAUGUACGACCGUACCAGGUUGCGAAGGGUUUCUACAAACUGGAAAAGGGCCAUACAAUCCACAGCCGUGUGCUCUGAUGCAGUUAUACCGCACGCUCCAAACCGUUGGGAAUCCGCCCACGACUUAGCUUAUCGAAUUCAAAUGUCGGUGACCGAAUACACAAAAGUCGUUUAUCUUGCGGGGCCCUGGCGGGAUUUCCUAGAACCGGUCGCGACUAUUCUAUCCUAUAUGUCCAUCAAACUGGAUUGGUUAGUUAUUGCUGACAAUGAAACUGACGGUACCGAAGAAUUAUUUACUACGGGCGACACCACGUUGCUCGCCAAAUACCUGCCGCAAAUCUGCCGGCAUAUUGCUUUAAAACGUUAUGCUUUCUACCGUUGGCCUUGCUUGGUGGACAGUUUGGACUUUACGUAUUCGUUCACCCAUGGUUGCUUACACGACCUGCAAGGGGUGUUUUUUAACCACCUUAAUGAAUUGGCCAAUCCAGUAGAAGAGGCGAAAUACGUUAAAAUACAGUCGUGCAUUGUCAUUCUGUCCAAGAAGCCAUGGUUAUGGAAGAAGAAGCACUGGAAAUCCCUGCGUUCCUGUUUUAAACAAUGGAGAGUGCCGCAACCACAAAGUAUGAAAGAACUGACUGCAGCUUCCUUGGAAAGAAUGCCACGAAGAAACCUAGUCCUUCUAAGUUUAGCAUUAUGGGCGGAAAAGUUUCAAAUUCAGCUGGAAAAGUGCAAUUACUCUGUAACUGAUAGAAAGUGAAAGUUGUUGUAACUUGUAACUGUUGCCGUUGAAAAAUUGCACUCCAUAAAAACACGUACAAAGUUGCCCUAGAUACUGAUAAGAUUUAACGAUGAUCACUCAAGGUAAUCCAGCGAGUGUUGAAAAUCGAUCCUUAAUGGAAGAAUGAGAAAAUUAAAAAAAAACUCCGGUAAAAAUAACUAAGUUAAUUAUUUUUACCGGAGAGUAUUUUUAUCGGAAAUUAUGUGUACAUUUUACUGUUGUUUUACCUGCAACGUGUCCGCAUCUUAAGCUACUCUCAGCACACCGAAUUUUAUACCCUCGUGACCUUAUUCUUAUACUGUUGGGGUCUAAAUCUAAAUCUUUGAGGUCUUAGUCUAAAUCUAAAUCGUAUAGUCUAAAUCUUUGAGGCGUA
Molecule: long non-coding RNA, 2300 nt
Organism: Paramacrobiotus metropolitanus
Lineage: Eukaryota; Metazoa; Tardigrada; Eutardigrada; Parachela; Macrobiotidae
Exons: 4
Source: RefSeq, a predicted model, not a curated record